UACGAAGGGAGCUAGCGUUGUUCGGAAUUACUGGGCGUAAAGGGCGCGUAGGCGGUCUGUCGCGUCAGGCGUGAAAGCCCUGGGCUCAACCCGGGAGGUGCGCUUGAAACGGAUGGGCUCGAGACCGGGAGAGGAGAGUGGAAUUCCCAGUGUAGAGGUGAAAUUCGUAGAUAUUGGGAAGAACACCGGUGGCGAAGGCGGCUCUCUGGCCCGGUUCUGACGCUGAUGCGCGAAAGCGUGGGGAGCAAACAGG
RNAcentral lists this ribosomal RNA (253 nucleotides) under uncultured bacterium. RNAcentral describes it as "partial 16S ribosomal RNA". It matches the Rfam family "Bacterial small subunit ribosomal RNA", at positions 524 to 776 of the family's 1533-position model. The record is from RNAcentral.